RNAcentral lists this non-coding RNA (95 nucleotides) under anaerobic digester metagenome. Its description in RNAcentral is "pan". It matches the Rfam family "pan motif". The record is from RNAcentral.
AGGGUGGUAUCGCGCGAACCACACCUUAAGCAGGAUCCGUAAACUUAAUACUGUUUUAUGUACCGCUUGGAGCCGGGUUGGACCGAGACGGGAGG